Molecule: long non-coding RNA, 1298 nt
Organism: Myzus persicae (green peach aphid)
Lineage: Eukaryota; Metazoa; Arthropoda; Insecta; Hemiptera; Aphididae
Exons: 2
Source: RefSeq, a predicted model, not a curated record
AGUACGCCACCAUUUGUACGAAGGCCGACCUUUAUGGUUAUAAUAUAUGGUAUAAUCCGACAGUGGUAUAAUGGAGUUUUACAUUUCAAUUUUAUUUAAGUUUUUUGAUUGUUGUUCAAAUGUCAAUAAUCUGCAUGCCAAAAUAAUAUAUUUAAUGUUAUAUUGCAUGGAUUACCAACUAAAAUAAACCAUGCUUUGGAAUCAUGUGCCUUAAAUCGUAAUAAUAUUACACGACCUCUUGAGAAAAUAAUUACAAUCGUUGAAAAUACUUAUAUUGAAAAAGAAAUCAACAACUGCUAAUUUGUGGGAACUGGUUCUAUCGAAAGGCAUGAUUUAGAAACAACUACUUAAAAGAUAUCAGACAAAAAAUUUAACUUUAAUUUAAAGCCUUGUGCAUACCAUGUAUGCAAUUAUAGAUCUGCAUUCAUUUUCAUGUUAAAAAUACAUUACAGAAUUCACACCAGUGAAAAGUCUUACAAAUGUUAUGUUUUUGAUGUAUCAUUUAGACAAAAUUCUACUUUGAACAUGCCCAUAAUGAGAGCUCAUCCGGGGAAAAACCUUAUGCAUGUAAAAUAUUUGAUUAUAGAUUUACUACAUCGUCAGCAUUACAUAAUAGAUCUCAUAACAGGGAAAAGCAUUAUUCAUGCAAAACAUAUGAUUAUAUAGAGGUUCUUCAUUUUCAGCCUUAAAAAUUCACAAUAAAACUCAUACUGGUGAAAACCCUUAUGCACGCACAAGCUGUAAUUAUAGAGGUUCUUCAUCUUCAGCCUUAAGCCUUCAAAAUGCAUAAUAUGCUUUAAAACAUUUUCUAAUAAAUUCAGUAUAAGAAUCCAUAUGAGUACUCAUGGAUUUCAGCCUUAAUAGCUCGUUUGAUCUAAAAUGGAAAGUAUACCACUGAAAAGUGAGUGAACGACAGCUUUUAUUGUUUAUUUUUCUUCUACAUUGUGAACAGGAGGACAGGAAAGUACAUGAAUAUAUUAAUUAUAAUUAUAUUUCUGUAUCAUGUUAUCAAAAAUAUAAUGAGAUAUAAUUUAUAAUUUAAAAUGAGUUAAUCUUUUCUUGCAUGUAUUUUUUUAAAGAUAUAUUUACUCAUUUUAACAUAGAAAUACAGUUGUACAAAACAAUGGUAACCAUUAAUUUGAAUAAUAAAUAACAUAAUAUUAAGAAUAAGUAUUACAAUACCUAUUUAAGUCUUGUAAGCAUAAAAAAAAUCGUAUAACAUGGUAAAUGGUAGGAGUAUAAAGUUGAAUGUUUUACAAAAUAAAAAUUAUAAUUAUAUAAUUAUGAAAAAAAAAAAA